This 416-nucleotide long non-coding RNA is filed under the name Helianthus annuus (common sunflower). Lineage: Eukaryota; Viridiplantae; Streptophyta; Magnoliopsida; Asterales; Asteraceae. The record is from RNAcentral.
CCUCUUCUCUAUUACGAUUGUUCUACAUCAAAACCCUACACCUCUUCCUCUUCUCUACAUUACGAUUGCAGGCUCGCUCGUUUGCUCGCCGCUCGUUUGCUCGCCGGGGCUCGUUCCCAUCGGUGGUCUUGUAUCCCAUAAUCUACAGGGGCACGUUUGCAUUUGAAUCACUAGGUAUGUGUAUAGAUCGACAAAUAUGUCGCGUGAUAGAAACUGGAUGUACAUGAAGAGAACCACUAGUGAGGGUCUCUUCGAUCCGACAUUCCAACAUCAUGUCAACUUUUUCUUGGAUUAUGCAUAUGCUAACGCACCUAACAUUCAAAGAGAACUAAUAGAUGGGGUCGAUGUUUCUAAAAUAAGAUGUCCAUGUGGCAAAUGCCAAAUUCCUCGUUUCAAGAAGAGAUUUGAGGUUGUUG